UACAGAGGGGGCGAGCGUUAAUCGGAAUUACUGGGCGUAAAGCGCGCGUAGGCGGCUUUGCAAGUCGGGUGUGAAAUCCCCAGGCUUAACCUGGGAACUGCAUUCGAGACUGCAUUGCUAGAGUAUGGGAGAGGGAAGUGGAAUUUCCGGCGUAGCGGUGAAAUGCGUAGAUAUCGGAAGGAACAUCAGUGGCGAAAGCGACUUCCUGGACCAAUACUGACGCUCAUGUGCGAAAGCGUGGGGAGCAAACAGG
This 253-nucleotide ribosomal RNA is filed under the name uncultured bacterium. Its description in RNAcentral is "partial 16S ribosomal RNA". It matches the Rfam family "Bacterial small subunit ribosomal RNA", at positions 524 to 776 of the family's 1533-position model. The record is from RNAcentral.